AACAAAGAAGUAAAAAAAUUUACAUUUAGUUUCGACCUAAAAUUUAAGGAUUAUACCUCAUGUUU
This 65-nucleotide transfer RNA is filed under the name Uzeldikra longiprocessa. RNAcentral's name for it is "tRNA-Arg". The record is from RNAcentral. Lineage: Eukaryota; Metazoa; Arthropoda; Insecta; Hemiptera; Cicadellidae.